This 324-nucleotide long non-coding RNA is filed under the name Salvia miltiorrhiza (redroot sage). RNAcentral's name for it is "long non-coding RNA (SMIL_LNC007167)". Lineage: Eukaryota; Viridiplantae; Streptophyta; Magnoliopsida; Lamiales; Lamiaceae. The record is from RNAcentral.
UUUUUGUUAAUGGAGGCCAUAACUAGCUUGUCGCACUCUGGCUCCAUCCACGUGGUGACGAAGGAGGCCAGAUUCAGCCUCGGAUUUCCGUCGAGCAUCAGCUCGUCGUUGAUGAUCUGGUACGCCGCUUCCUUCGGGAUCGAUUCUUCCGACAUCUUAAACCUAAUUUCGUACAAUCGUAAAUCUCAAUGAUUCGCACAGAAAAGUAGGGGAAUAGAGCAGGUGAUGAUAGAUCGUACCUGGGGAGAGAGUGGCGAACAUAACGCGAACCAAAAGUCGAGUGGACUGAGACGUCGGAUUCAGAGGCGGUCUUUGAGAGAACCA